GAUCAUGGCUCAGGAUGAACGCUGGCGGCGUGCUUAACACAUGCAAGUCGAACGAUUGAAGCUGGAGCUUGCUCCGGCCGAUUUAGUGGCGGACGGGUGAAUAACGCGUGGGUAACCUGCCUCAUACAGGGGGAUAGCAGUUGGAAACGACUGGUAAAACCGCAUAAGCGCACGGUAUCGCAUGACACAGUGUGAAAACACUCCGGUGGUAUGAGAUGGACCCGCGUCUGAUUAG
Molecule: ribosomal RNA, 235 nt
Filed under: uncultured bacterium
Lineage: Bacteria
Description: partial 16S ribosomal RNA
Rfam family: Bacterial small subunit ribosomal RNA
Source: RNAcentral